Molecule: RNA transcript, 881 nt
Organism: Pistacia vera
Lineage: Eukaryota; Viridiplantae; Streptophyta; Magnoliopsida; Sapindales; Anacardiaceae
Gene name: E3 SUMO-protein ligase RanBP2-like
Exons: 5
Source: RefSeq, a predicted model, not a curated record
AACUAUCAGGAUGUUGAAAUGAAAAGAGGCGAUUGGAUGUGUCUCAAAUGCAAUUUCUAAACUUCGCUAGAAAUUUAAUAUGUCUAAAGUGUAAGGAAGAUGGUCCUAAAAGCAUUCGUGGUGGUGACAUUGAAACGAAGGAUGGAGACUGGAUCUGCUCUGAGUGCGUGUAUUUAUCUCGGAUGUGAUGAUGUUCUCAAUCCAACAAAUUAUGGACAAGCAACCCCUGACGACCCCCUUUUUUAUAUGUUAUAAUUAAGUUAUUGCAUACCAACUUGUCACUCUUUUUCCUGUCCUUUGACUGGUGCACUUUGUAUUGCAGAUGCAAUUUCAUGAAUUUUUCUAGAAAUACGCGAUGCUUCAAGUGCAAAGCAGGGGGUCCAAAGGGGCUUGCUGUGGACGAGUUCGAAGUGAGGAAAGAUGAUUGGAACUGCCCUCUGUGCCUUUUCGUGAACUUUGCUCGCAAUAAAAAUUGUUUGCGUUGCCGUGAGCAACGGCCUAAGAGACUGCUAAACUAUGGAGAGUGGGAAUGUCCCUCGUGUGAUUACUUAAAUUAUAGCAGGAAUGAAGUCUGCCGAAAGUGUAAGUCUGGGCGCCCUAAAGAAGAUGCAACAGCGUAUGAAGAGCAGGUGUGGAGGAGACCUUACUAAAGGAUGCAUCUGCGAACGCCCGUUAAUCACACAUGUAGACGAUUAGGUGGCUGUCACUGCAUGAUAUAAUUACCGAACUCAUGUUACAUGGGAAUUUAAUAUCCCACAUGGCUAGUAUUCUACAAAAAAGAUUGGUAUGGUUGAGUCUUCCUAUUACCUGUUCCAAAAGCUAUGCUAUGGCUGUUACAGGGCUACCGUUACCCAAUUUGUAGUAGAUUCCAGAUUUGUUUG